Molecule: long non-coding RNA, 518 nt
Filed under: Homo sapiens (human)
Lineage: Eukaryota; Metazoa; Chordata; Mammalia; Primates; Hominidae
Description: HSALNT0358045
Source: RNAcentral
AUCCUAUUCUGAACAUUUGGGGUGUUACAUUAUGAGGCUCUAGAUCUUAUGUAAAUUUUUUGUUUUAGCUGGCCUGUGCUGAAACUGGACUGGUGGUGGAAGCCGGGCACUAACUCUUUAUCACUGGAAGGAAGUGGAAGUCCAGACUCCCCAGCAGCCUCCAUUGGUACCACCAUGGCAGGGAGCGGGGAGCUAUUCAUUACCAGCAGAUGAGGGUUAGAAGUUCAUGCUCCCUGGAUAGUCUCCACUAAACUGAAGGAAGGCAUUCAAGGAAGGGCAGCUCAUCGCCACAGGGCGGAGGUAGAAAUCCAGGCUGCCUACUUGACUUCCUGGGAGACCACCUCAGCAUGGAUGGAAAAGAGCACCUCAUCACCUCCAGGUAUUAUGGGAGAUAGGCUGGGACAGAGAAGGAAAGCCAGGAAGAAGAGACAGCAUGAGCAAAAGCAUGAAGAUCAGAAUUCAAAGAGGAUGCUGCUAAGAAACUACAGACAGAGUCUUGCUAUGUUGCCCAGUCUGGU